GUCAAGCUGUGAAGUCAAGCAACUUCCUGCAUUAUGACCUCUCAGUCACAAAGGGAAUACAUUUCUUCUUGCAGCAUUAGUAAGCUGUUUUCUCAUCCACAGGUCUUCUGAUAACAGACAUUUGUUUGUGAACCUACUACAAACAGUCUCAGCAGCAAGCACCGCUCUGACUUUGAAGUCUGGAACUUGGAAAAUGUGCAGUCAUUUGAUACUACCACCUUCUUUUCUGAAUCUGCCAAGCAGUUUCUUCCUAAAGAGUUCCUAUCUGAGAAUUUCUUAUGUUCAUCUCAUAUUAAAGAAGAGUUAAAAUAGAACCUCUGGCCUAUUCUAUAAGAAAAAAGUGUGCAUUAUCACCACUUUUAUGAUACUUCCCAAACUUCUGUGGGACUCCAACGUG
RNAcentral lists this long non-coding RNA (397 nucleotides) under Felis catus (domestic cat). Its description in RNAcentral is "lncRNA (ENSFCAG00000045094.2)". The record is from RNAcentral. Lineage: Eukaryota; Metazoa; Chordata; Mammalia; Carnivora; Felidae.